ACCUGGGAUAGCUCAGGUGGUAGAGCGUGAGACUCUUAAUCCCAGGGUUAUGGAUUCGAGCCACACAUUGGGCA
Podarcis lilfordi (Lilford's wall lizard) is the source of this 74-nucleotide non-coding RNA. The record is from the annotation of a GenBank genome assembly. Lineage: Eukaryota; Metazoa; Chordata; Lepidosauria; Squamata; Lacertidae.